CGGCUGAACACGAAGGCAAACAUGUUUCACAAGCACAUUGCACAGUCAGCCGCAUGCCCCCGCUGUCAAGACCCUCAUGAAGAUGCCCUACACCUCAUCUCCAACUGUUCUUACGCUACACAAGUCUGGUCCGCCUUGGGACUGCAGGCUCCAACCUCUCUUGAUGAUCUGAUUCAACACCCAACGCUUCAAGGCCUCAACCCCAACAUAUGGCCUUCGGUAGCUCUGUCUAUCUCUUGGAAACUAUGGGACUCAAGAAACGCUCUAGUAUUCAGGAACGAGGAUCACUCCACCAGGACCACGCUACGAAACAUUGUUGCUGAUUUCUCUCUAUGGGUUUUUCGGUUCAAAAACAAG
RNAcentral lists this ribosomal RNA (357 nucleotides) under Triticum aestivum (bread wheat). RNAcentral describes it as "partial small subunit ribosomal RNA". The record is from RNAcentral. Lineage: Eukaryota; Viridiplantae; Streptophyta; Magnoliopsida; Poales; Poaceae.